Molecule: long non-coding RNA, 2149 nt
Organism: Astatotilapia calliptera (eastern happy)
Lineage: Eukaryota; Metazoa; Chordata; Actinopteri; Cichliformes; Cichlidae
Source: Ensembl
AUGCAAUGUCUCUAAUAAAAACACAAAAACAGAAAAUUCUAAAGUUUGGCUUUCAGUGCAAAAUUCGAUUAGAUCUGCAGUGUAUGUAAAUAUGUUGCAAGGGCGGGUAGGAAGGGCACGAGGUGAGCAAGGAUACAGUCAAAGCUUUUACGGCAUUUUAAAGUAAAAUCAAACAACUUCUUCUUAAGUACAAAUCUUGAUAAUAUUAAUACGCUUUAUUUGUACACACAACAUUUAAAAAACAGACUUAAAGUACAAAAAGCAGACUUUUCAGAAAGUAAAUUCAAACAUCAGCCCAAAGAAAACAGAUACAGUUAAUGUGAUGAAACAGAAAUAAAGAUUCAAGGUUAUGACAAAUAAACAACACUAAUAAAAUCACAAAAGCAAGAGAGCUGAAACAAUAAACAGAACCAAAAGAGACAAAAAAAAAAAAGAGAUGACAUCACAUACGACACCAAUAAAAUCUCCUCAGGUAGAUCAUUCUAGAGUCGAGGGGCUCUAAUGGCACAGUGAUCACCUUUAGAGUGUGACUGUGAAACAGCUGGAAGGCCCCAGCUGAGUAUCUAAAUUUGCAAAAUGGCCCAUGAGGAGUCAACAUGCUCUGACAUGCAGCCAGACCCUGACGCACUCAGGAAGCAUACAGGGAACCAAUAGCAAGAGCUGGAUUCAUGUCAGGCUAUCUGCUAAAACUACUAAGAAGCAAGUGCUUAACCAAAACAUGUCUUAUUUCACACCACAUUACAGCCUGCUGGAUGUUUUAAACUCAUCUUUUUGCAGUAACACCAUAACACACGUGAAUAAUGAGAUCACAGAGGAGAUAAUAUCUUAUAAAAAAACCAACAGAUUGUUAUCAGGUUUUAGCUGUGUGGAAAUUUUGCGCUGUUUGUUGUAGUUUUUCAGGGUUUUAUCAAAGAUAAUUGGUUACUCUGGUGUGUUGGGUGUUGCACACAUAAAAUAAAAUCUACAGUAAACUGCACACUCCUACUGUAAAGCUUUACUUUACUUCUCUGUAGUAUCAUAGUUUCAAAGCGCCGUAGCCCAAAGAACUUACCCAUGUCACAGAUGGUGAUGUGAAGAGUCUGCUCUCUUGGAUCUUCAGCAGCAUGUCCCAGAUGAUGCAUCAGAACCAAACAGGCACAUCAGAAAACUUGUGACUGAAGGCGAGGACUUUGUCAUGAAGAAGAACUAGAGGACUGGUGGAAAGAAACUUGGGGUGAAGCUAGACAAGAACAAAGAAAUGAAAAAGGAGGACGAGAAGACAAAACUGAAGGGUGAGAAGAAAUUGGAAAAGUUACUGGGGAUUAAAGAAAUGCAGGAGAUGAAGUAAGAAAUUUAACAAAAACUUGAUGAAAGGAUGAGAAAAGGUUGGAUGAUAAGAAGAAUUAGCAGUAUAAAAGUAAAAUUAAAAGAAAAAGGAAUGACUUGUGUUUUUUCAAGCACAGCAGGCAGAGCUGCAGAACAAAGAAAACAAAGUGCAAAGAAAGGGGGAAAAGGAAAGUCAAAGGGAGGGAACAGGCUGAGCAGACAGGAAAAAAGUAAGAGAGUAAAAAAACAAAAAAGAAAGAGUUAGAAUAAGAAAAGGUGACAAAAGAGAAAAUAAGGACCAACACGAACAGAGAGAAAAGGAGGAGAAAAGAGUUCAGAAGCCAGAGAAGAGGAGAAGGAGCUCGGCUUCAGGAACUGGAUCUGAAGCGUGACUGUGCCAAGUGAUGGGGAAGGUAAAGACUUGCCUUUCUGCCUCCCCCCUCUAUAGGGGUGUUUGCAGGAUUUAAAUGGGGGAACAGAGGAGAGCCAAUAACAAGGCUGAAGGGAUCAUGGGAAAUCAGAAUAUUUCAUGAGAAAUUAAAAAACAGAAUUUAGAAAAAACUGGUGCAGAAAACUUAGGACAUGUUUUAAAAGACACUGUAAAACCAGGCAUUGCCUUAGUUCAUGUUGACCAACUGAUUUGCGAAAAAAAAAUUAGAGCCAGGGCCCCCUCCCCUCCCCGCCUCACUCAUCAUCGUCUCCAUUGUUCCCUUUCUCUGCCCACCUCCUCCUUUAUCUCAGCCCUCUGUUGACCAUCCAUCACCAAUCAUUAAAAACUAAACAUCAUCAGGUUUGUUUCUGCAUGAUGUCGUUACUCUGAAUAAACACAACAGGUUAAACCCCA